GAUACGAUGAACAUCACUCAAAAGCAGAGAAUUUCAGUGGAAGAGAUAGGUGUCCUCCCGGUCUUCAAUAUUUUUGCCUCUGUUCUUGGUGUUCCUGUUGGUGCCGCCUCCUCUGUUUUUCUUUGUUAUGUUCAGGGUUUCUAAGUGUCUCCCCUCCUCUGUUUUUCUGACCCGUAACUCUUCUUUUAUAUUGUGGCUUUUCUACCCCUGCAGUAAUGAGGAAAAUUUCCUUUUCUGCAUUGAUUUCUCCUACCCAGACAUUGCGGGCCAGAUUUGAGUUAGGAAACGUGCGAAUUCAAAGAUCUUUAUUUCUGGAGAAAUUGUAGAGAAUCAAAUUUUCUUUCCAACGACACUGAUUUUGCAAUUUUUGGACCUCUGAGCGUUGAGAUAUGGGCUAUAAACCGAAACAGUCUUUGCAGUGCAGGAAUUUCGGGCUGGUUCAAUCCUUGUUUUUCAACUCGCUUUUUGGGCUUCGAAACAACAAAACUGAGUUAUAUGUCCUUCAUAUGUUUUGUAGACCUUCAUCUCAGCUAUUUGAAAAUGGUUACGAACAUCCGGAACUAAAUUGUAUAGCUUCUUUGCAGCACAUAAUGAAUCACUGUUCAGUUUCACUGCCCGGCUCUGCCUGUUCAGUAACCUAAGAUCUGAAAACACAUUAAUUUCCCACGAGGUCAAUAGUUCAAAAAGAGAUUCAAAAUUCUAAUUGUCUUGUGCAACAUAUCCAAAAUAUUUAAAAAUCAAGCAUGAAUAGCAGAAAAUAUACAUGCUAAAAAUUCCCUUAUCAAAUACCCCCAAACUUGAAUGUUUGCUUGUCCUCAAGCAAAAAGGAAACCAUGAAAGCAUAGUGCUAAAAGCUCAUGAUAAGUUCAACUUUGACAUUUAAAAGGCUCCAUCAUGCAGCAUUCACUUCUUGACUUAGCUCAUAGACAAUAUUAGAUAAUGGAAAACUAAGCAUUCCUACUCUCUGUGCAGACCGUUGUACAAACUUCCAACUCAUCCAUGUGUUUCAUGUGUUUAGCAUCCUUGAACCGUGCACAGUCAUUCUGCCAUUAUUUUUUUUUUUUUGAACAAGGUAGCCAACUUUAGGAGUAAUAACACACUUUUACUUGUCUUUUGACAAGGGUGAUUUUUUUAAAUUUAUCACUUGUCUUUUGACGCGAAUACAAACAUUUGUGAUGAAUGCACCCGGUUACUUAACAGGUCAUAAGCUUAAAAUGCUUUGCAUACUCAUAUUUUAAAGCUGCCGUUUGACGUAAAAGUAAACAUUUGUGAUGAAUACUCCUAGUUACUAAGCAACUCAAAACAUUGGAGUAGAUACACAUCAUAUACUUAUUCAUUCACUUUCAUACUCAUUAUCACUCCUUGUUUUGAUAUUUUUCUUAGAGGGUAAUAACAAAAAAGAACAGCACACUUAUCUCUUAUGCAUAACUACACAAUUCACCUGACUAUGCUGGAAAAGUGUACUUCAAUAAUUCAACAGAAAAUAGUCAUGCUUAAUCCAACUUUAUAAGAUAUUAUCCACUCUAAGCCUAGGAAUAUCAUGGAUACAUCAUGAAGCACCUAAAAAUGUCAAAGUUGGUCUUAAAUGCAUAUCACUUUUCACCCUCUGUUUUCAUGGUUCCAGUGUGCAGUGUUCUUUCAUAGUCAAAGCAUGCAAUGUCUCCCCCAAACUUAAAUAUCACAGUCCUCAAUGGAAAAACAAAGAAUAGAAAGGCUUACGAAUACUUCCUUUUGACUAUGUGGGUGUGAGUUUGUUGCUGCUCCUGGUUAUUUGCUUGUAUGAUCAAUCCCUGCACAACUCAAUAAAACAAAUAAGGUUUUUUUUUUUUUUGGGUUGCCUCCCAAUCAGUGCUUAGUUAUAGUCAUUAGCUUGACUUUUCCAUUUAGCUAAGAUGAAGUGAGAGGGAUAUCAUCCCUUUUUCCAAUAGACUCUCCAUUCCUAUAAUGCUUCAGACGCUGCCCAUUCACUGUGAAUGUUCCCUUUUCAUCAUGAGUGACCUCUACUGCUCCAUAAGGAAAUACUUUCACAACCGUAAAUGGUCCUGACCACCGUGAUUUGAGCUUACCAGGAAACAAGCGGAGCCGUGAAUUGAAAAGUAAUACCUGCUGACCAGGGACAAACUCCUUGCGUACAAUGUGUUUGUCAUGCCAUGCCUUGGUUCUUUCAUUGUAUAUCUUGGCAUUCUCAUAGGACUCAUUGCGAAAUUCAUCCAUCUCAUUAAGUUGCAGGAUUCGUUUCUCACCUGCAACCUGCAGAUCUAUGUUCAGUUGUUUCAUUGCCCAGUAUGCCUUAUGCUCUAAUUCAACAGGAAGAUGGCAUGCUUUUCCAAAAACUAAUCGAUACGGAGACAUUCCCAAUGGUGUUUUUAAUGCUGUCCGAUAUGCCCACAAUGCAUCAUCUAGCUUUCGUGCCCAAUCUUUCCGAGAAUUACUUACUGUUUUCUCUAAGAUUUGCUUCACCUCUCUAUUUGAUACCUCUGUUUGGCCAUUUGUCUGAGGAUGAUAAGCCAAUGCUCGUUUGUGUCUGACUCCAUACUUAGAUAGCAGUGCUUCAGACUGCUUGUUGCAAAAAUGAGUUCCUUCAUCACUGAUGAUGGCUCGAGGAGUACCAAAUCUGGUAAAGAUGUUCUUUCGUAGAAAAUUAAGUACCACCUUGCCAUCAUUUGUAGGCGUUGCAAUUGCCUCGAUCCACUUUGAUACAUAAUCCACUACUAAGAGAAUGUAUUUGUUGUUAUAUGAUGAAGGAAAAGGUCCCAUGAAAUCGAUGCCCCAAACAUCAAAUAAUUCAACUUCUAAGAUAUUCUGCAGUGGCAUUUCAUUUCGUCGAGAUAUAUUCCCAGUAUGCUGACAUCUAUCACAAGCAGUAACAAAAGCAUGAGCAUCUUUAAACAUAGUGGGCCAAUAAAAACCUGACUGCAGAACUUUGGCUGCAGUGCGCUGUGUUCCAAAGUGCCCCCCAUAUUCAAGUGUGUGGCAAUGCUUCAAUAUGUUUGUCAUUUCUUCUUCUGGAACGCACCUCCUGAUGACUUGAUCUGCACAAUGCCGAUAGAGUAUCGGCUCCUCCCAGAAGUAGUGUUUGACUUCAGAAAAAAAUUUCUUCUUUUGCUGGUAAGAAAAAUCUGGCGGUAUGAUUUUACCUGCAAGAAAGUUGACAUAAUCUGCAUACCAAGGAAAGAAUUUGUUAGUGGAAAUUGCUAAGAGUCUUUCAUCAGGAAAACAUUCAUUUAUAACCGUGAAUUUAGGCUCCAGCUGCUGUGUCAAUUCCAGCCUUGAAAGAUGAUUUGCCACCACGUUCUCAGUCCCCUUUUUAUCUUUAAUUUCUACAUCAAAUUCUUGCAGUAAUAGGAUCCAACAGAUGAGUCUAGGCUUGGCAUCUUUCUUAGACACUAGGUGUCUAAUUGCAGCAUGAUCAGUAUACACCAGCACUUUGUUUCCCAUCAGGUAAGGCCGAAACUUAUCAAAUGCAUAGACCACAGCAAGCAACUCUUUCUCGGUUGUGGCAUAAUUGAGCUGGGCAUCGUUGAGUGUUCUGCUGGCAUAGUAUAUGGUGUGAAACACAUUAUUUUUCCGUUGCCCCAGUACUGCUCCAACUGCAUAAUCACUUGCAUCACACAUAAGCUCAAAUGGUUUCUCCCAAUCCGGUGCAAUUACAAUAGGAGCUGUCACUAACUUCUUUUUCAACAACAUAAAGGCUGUCUUGCAUUCCUCAUCAAACUGAAACUUUGUGUCUUUUAGCAGCAGACUGCAUAGCGGUUUGGAUAUUUUAGAGAAGUCUUUGAUGAACCUCCUAUAAAAUCCCGCAUGACCAAGGAAACUCCUAACCCCUUUUACUGUAGUUGGUGGCAAAAGCUUAUCUAUUGCUUCAAUUUUAGCUAUGUCUACUUCUAUUCCUUUUUCUGAAAUCCGGUGCCCCAAUACUAUACCUUCCUUUACCAUGAAGUGACAUUUUUCCCAGUUCAAUAUCAAGUUUGUCUUUUCACAACGCUCCAAAACCAACGCCAACUUUGCAAGGCAGUCAUCAAAAGAAGUUCCAAAUACAGAAAAGUCAUCCAUGAAGAUCUCAAUGAUUUGCUCCACCAUAUCUGAAAAAAUAGCCAUCAUGCACCUCUGAAAGGUAGCUGGUGCAUUACACAACCCAAAAGGCAUUCUUCUGAAAGCAAAAGUACCAUAAGGGCAUGUGAAAGUGGUCUUCUCCUGGUCCUCAGGUGCGAUGGCUAUUUGGUUGUAUCCUGAAUAGCCAUCUAGGAAACAGUAGUAUUCAUGCCCAGCUAACCUGUCCAGCAUCUGAUCAAUGAAUGGUAGGGGGAAGUGAUCUUUGUGAGUUGCCUUGUUGAGCUUUCAAUAAUCCAUGCAAAUCCUCCAUCCAGUUACCGGUCUAGUAGGUAUCAAGUUGUUGUUUGCAUCCUUUACCACUGUCAUUCCUCCUUUCUUUGGCACAACUUGAACUGGGCUCACCCAUGAGCUGUCAGAGAUUGGAUAAAUAACACCAGCAUCUAACCAUUUCAGAACUUCUUUUCGGACUACCUCUUUCAUGGUCGGGUUAAGCCUUCUCUGAUGUUCUACUGUUGGCUUGACUUCAUCCUCCAACAGAAUUUUAUGCAUGCAAAUAGAGGGACUGAUGCCUUUGAUAUCUGCCAAUACCCACCCGAGAGCUGCCUUAUGUUUUCUCAACACCCUCAACAAUUUUUCUUCCUCUGUUUUGGUCAGCUUUGCAGAGACUAUCACAGGAUAGGUGGAAGCUUCUCCAAGAUAUGCAUACCAAAGGUGUUCUGGCAGAGGUUGCAAUUCCAGAACCGGUGCUUGUUCACUGGUUGAUUUUAUUUUUGGUGCUGGUUGUCCCAAAUCUUCAAAGUAUCUUCUGCGGUUAGGUUCAAAAGAGUCCAUCCAACAUGUAUAUUUUGCUAUUUCAGCAUCCUCUUCCAAUACAUUAUUUACCAAACAUGCUUCCAACGGGUCAGUUGGAAGCUUGACUUUGUCAUUAAUUAAAGAGUCCACCACUUAAAUGCUGAAGCAACUCUCCCCAAUAUCUGGCUGUUUGAUGGCUUUGAACACAUUGAAAAUCACCUCCUCUUCAUUCACCCUUAACCGCAGCUCCCCUUUCUUCACAUCAAUUAAGGCACCUCCAGUGGCCAAGAAUGGCCGGCCAAGCAAGAUAGGAAUCUCAUUAUCCUCCUCCAUAUCCAGAAUGAUGAAGUUUGCUGGAAAGAUGAACUUGCCCACUUUCACCAGUACGUCUUCAAUUAUUCCCCUUGGAUGCUUCAAUGACCUGUCAGCUAGCUGUAGUGUUACUGUGGUUGGCCUUGCUUCACCUAAACCAAGCUUCUUAAAAAUAGAUAAAGGCAUGAGAUUAAUACUUGCACCUAAAUCACAUAAAGCUUUUUCAAAUAUAGAAUUUCCAAUGGAACAUGGUAUAGUAAAACUCCCUGGAUCCUUAAGUUUAGGAGGCAGUUUCUUCUGUAAAAUGGCACUGCAUUCCUCAGUAAGAGCAACAGUCUCAUAUUCCUCUAGCUUUCUUUUGUUUGAGAGGAUGUCCUUCAAAAAUUUCACAUAGCUUGGCAUUUGUUCAAGAGCAUCUGCAAAAGGAAUGUUAAUCUGCAAUUUUUUAAACACAUCAAGAAAUUUAGAAAAUUGCUUAUCAAGUUUAUUCUUCUUGAGACGUUGUGGAAAUGGAAUUCUCUGCAUUAUUUCUUGCGUUGGUUCUGGCAGAGGAUCAGAUUUUUUCAUAUUCUGAAGUGGUUUGGCCACUUGCUCCUCCUCUUCUCUUCCUGCACUCUUGUUUCCAGCGGUCUGCUCCACUUCUUUUCCACUUCUUAAAGUUAUGGCCUUGCAUUGCUCCUUAGGAUUAAUUUCAGUUGUGCUUAGUAGAGUUCCUUGUUGUCUACCCGUGAGCAUGUUGGCUAACUGACCAACUUGAACCUCCAAAUUUCAAAUAGAAGCUGCUUGGUUCUGCAGAUUAGUAUUUGUUUCAGUCAUGAAUCUGCUGGUGUUGUUUGCUAAUUGUGUCAUAGCUUCUUCAAGUUUAGAUUUCUCUUUCAUGUGCUCACUUGAAGAUGGCAUAGCUGGAUUCUUCAUGACAGUUUGAUUGUUCCAUGAGAAAUUAGGAUGAUUUCUCCAACCGGGAUUAUAUGUUGCACUGUAGGGGUUAAUCUGCCGGCUGUAGUUUGACACAAAAUGAGCAUGCUCUGCUUGAGAGAACGGGUUCCCAACCUGACACUCUUCACUUGUGUGAUUUCCAUGGCAAAAAUCACACGUUGUAUGGAUGGCAUUUGCUAACAGUUGAGUGGUUUUCAGUUGCUGAGUUAGUGAAUGGACUUGAGCUGUUAAUGCCGUGAUUGCAUCAAUUUCGUGCACCCCAACAGUCUUCUUCUGUAUGCUUCUUUCAUUUGGCCAUUGGUAAUUGUUCAUAGCCAUUUCUUCCAAUAAGUUGUAAGCAUCAUCCUGUGACUUACUCAUAAAAGCUCCUCCUGAAGCUGCAUCAAUUAGUGUUCUUGUGGAGGCAUUCAAUCCAUUGUAAAAAUUCUGCACCUGCAUCCACUUCGGUAGUCCAUGGUGGGGACAUCGCCUGAGCAAAUCCUUGUAUCUCUCCCAUGCCUCAUACAAUGGUUCACUCUCAAGUUGGGCAAAGUUAGCUAUCUCAAUGCGCAUUUUUGCUGUCUUGGCUGGUUGAAAAAAUUUAGCAAGGAAUUUCUGAGCUAAAUUUUCCCAGCUGAUAACUGAAUCUGCAGGCAUGGAGUUUAACCAGUUCUUCGUUCUAUCUCGCAGAGAAAAUGGAAACAGUCUGAGACGAAUGGCAUCAUCAGUAACGCCAUUAUGCUUAAAUGUGUCGCAAAUUUCCAAGAAACUUGCAAUAUGGGCGUUAGGAUCAUCACUUGGCAACCCAUAAAACUGAAUUGAGGUCUGAAUCAUUUGCAGUAUUGCUGGUUUGAUCUCAAAAUUAUUGGCCUCAAUCCUUGGUUUCCUGAUAACAGAACGGAUUCCUGUCACCUGUGGGAGAGCAAAAUCUCUCAAUGCCCGUGUGUCUUGCUCAGGAUUUUCAUUGUUUGCCAUGAAGCCUGAACUGUUUUGAAUUUCUCGCGUUUUCUUUCUUAAUCCCCUUGCAGUUUUCUCAAUCUCAGGAUUAUAAGGUAGCAACGGAUGGUUUUUGUUGCUUCUCAUGCACUAGACAACACACCUAAAGAGCUGAAGACAAAAGGCAAUCAAAUUAGAUCAAAUUUAAUUUAUAUUGAUAUUAUUAGUAAUUUUAUCUAAAAUCCCCGGCAACGGCGCCAAAAACUUGUUGGUUAAUUUCGCAAGUGCACGAAUCGUAACAAGUAAUAAAGUGAUAAGUAGAGUAUCGUCCCACGAGGAUUUGUAAAAAUUACUACUAAUUACCAAAGUCUUUUAAAUUAUGAUCUAUUUGAGGAAUCGAAUGAGAUAGUUUAUGAAACAAAAAUUAAUGAUUAAAAAAAAAACAAACAACCAAAUGAUUAAAUAUUAAUUAAUUAAAUUGUACUGGUUCUAGGAUUUAUGACUUACCGUAACUAUGCCUAUGUGAACUUUCUCGAUUAAAUUAAUUACUCCUAAUGUUGAUAAUCAGGUUUUCCUAAUGUAAAUAUUAAUCUCUCUCGAGCAUCAAUAAAUUAUUUCGACAAACAAAUUUCAUAUACUCUACGAAAGUUCUGAACUUGUCGAAAUUAAUUAAAUACUGUAAAACCUGUAACGAUUACAAAAGUUCCUAGGAUAUCUCUAUCCUAUAGAUUUCUUAAGGUAUUUCAAACAAUAGCUAAAACAAUUAUCACUUCUCAGUUUCAAAUUGAAUUCUAAAUCAUGCAGAUGUUGGCCAAACACACGCAAGCAUUACACAUAGAAUGAAAUACUCAACAUCUUAAUGUAAUAAUUCAAUCGAAGAAAUUGUUCACAUAUUCAUAGUAAGGUUACAUCAAAAAUCCCAGAAUAAAAGUCUACUCCAUAGUUAAAUCAAAGAGAAACAAACUUGAUACGAUGAACAUCACUCAAAAGCAGAGAAUUUCAGUGGAAGAGAUAGGUGUCCUCCCGGUCUUCAAUAUUUUUGCCUCUGUUCUUGGUGUUCCUGUUGGUGCCGCCUCCUCUGUUUUUCUUUGCUAUGUUCAGGGUUUCUAAGUGUCUCCCCUCCUCUGUUUUUCUGACCCGUAACUCUUCUUUUAUAUUGUGGCUUUUCUACCCCUGCAGUAAUGAGGAAAAUUUCCUUUUCUGCAUUGAUUUCUCCUACACAGACAUUGCGGGCCAGAUUUGAGGUAGGAAACGUGCGAAUUCAAAGAUCUCUAUUUCUGGAGAAAUUGUAGAGAAUCAAAUUUUCUUUCCAACGACACUGAUC
This 8332-nucleotide long non-coding RNA is filed under the name Populus trichocarpa (black cottonwood). Its description in RNAcentral is "long non-coding RNA (PTRI_LNC001980)". The stretch from base 6542 to 6645 matches the Rfam family "Plant small nucleolar RNA R71". The record is from RNAcentral. Lineage: Eukaryota; Viridiplantae; Streptophyta; Magnoliopsida; Malpighiales; Salicaceae.